AACGAACGCUGGCGGCAUGCCUAACACAUGCAAGUCGAACGAGACCUUCGGGUCUAGUGGCGCACGGGUGCGUAACGCGUGGGAACCUGCCCUUAGGUUCGGAAUAACUCCCCGAAAGGGGUGCUAAUACCGGAUAAUGUCUUCGGACCAAAGAUUUAUCGCCUUUGGAUGGGCCCGCGUUGGAUUAGCUAGUUGGUAGGGUAAAAGCCUACCAAGGCGACGAUCCAUAGCUGGUCUGGGAGGAUGAUCAGCCACACUGGGACUGAGACACGGCCCAGACUCCUACGGGAGGCAGCAGUGGGGAAUAUUGGACAAUGGGCGAAGGCCUGAUCCAGCAAUGCCGCGUGAGUGAUGAAGGCCUUAGGGUUGUAAAGCUCUUUUACCCGGGAUGAUAAUGACAGUACCGGGAGAAUAAGCUCCGGCUAACUCCGUG
Molecule: ribosomal RNA, 433 nt
Filed under: uncultured bacterium
Lineage: Bacteria
Description: partial 16S ribosomal RNA
Rfam family: Bacterial small subunit ribosomal RNA
Source: RNAcentral